Non-coding RNA from Taeniopygia guttata (zebra finch), 4552 nucleotides. NCBI's taxonomy places the organism in Eukaryota, Metazoa, Chordata, Aves, Passeriformes, Estrildidae. The record is from RefSeq and is a predicted model, not a curated record.
CGGCGGUUCCAGUCUGCUCACACAAGGAGUCAGGAACUACUCAGGAAACAGAAUCAUGCAGUCACUACUGAACCACCAGAUACUCCUCACCUGCAGAGUGCCACAGAAUUAGGUGACACUCUAUACCUAUCCUUCCUUGGGAAGAAUAAUUAAGUAAUCUAUUUAUAAUAUUCAAAAAUUUUAUGUGUUCUGCUGGAAAAUUCAAAUGCAAACCUCUAAUUUAAUACACCCGAUAUGUUAUGCUUUAGAACAUCAUGUUUAAUGUUUCUUGCAAUAGUUUUGAAACACUCUUAUGGUGUAACAGUUGUUAUGCAAACCACCCACACUACCUCAAUCAAACUGAACUAACAAUUGAAAGAUUCAUUAUCUGAAUAUUUGUUAAAUAUGCAUAAGAAAAAGCGAAACUAAUGUGCAGAAUAUUCUGUGAGCUACUGACAGAAACCUUUUGUUAAUCUUCAACCUAACUCAAGUCAUGGCAUAUUUUAAUGACAAAUGCAUUUAAUUUUAUUGUUAAGUCAAAAUUCUCAUAUCAGAUUUUUGCAUUUUCAUUUGAUUUUUAAGGAUAUUCAUGGAUCUUCCUUACACUGACAUCCAUUUUUACAUCUCCUUGACAGCCCUUCAUCUGUCUGCACUUUGAGUGCAACUUCUUUUUGCUGCUUUCAUUGCUGCUAUUGAAACAACUGCUUCAGGACAAGCCAAGUUAGCUUACUCCAGCUGCAACAUUUUAUGGUUGCUAGCACCAUAAAGAAAAAAUAAUUUCUUAGAAAAUAGAUACGUAAUAUUCAGGAAGAAUGGACUUUCUUGCAGUACUUAUCCUGUGGAACUCAAACCAGUAGCAAAUACAGACUGGAGUAGUCUAAAACUUGCAAGUGACUCAAAUCAACUGUCUCUUGUUUUACCCCUUUAACCACAGCCAUGAGGCAUGCAGCCCUUUGGAAAGCUCACAAGUGGUAUUUUCCUUUCCAGCUUAAAUUUCCAGAGGCUGUGGGUAAUGAGAAACUUUCUAUUGUCCUCCCUUAUGGAAAAUAUAAAUAUAGAAAGAGUGUUUAAGAUAAAAGGCUGUAGUCAGAUCACAUGAGGAUAGUGGUGUACAUUGCUUGCAUUUCAAGAUGCCCUAUGAAAACACUAACUCAUCAGUGGUCUUUGUUCUCAUGUUUUACAAUAUUAGUGAACAAGAAGAGAUCAAGUGAAGGAGUACAGUUAAAAGAUGACCCACUGUCAUUCUUUUUGCCACAGGGAAAGAUGAUCUUGUAUCCCAACCUGAUCUCUGCCAAAACCUCUGAGAUGUGCUUUCAACAUGCCAAAAAGUUAUGCUUGAUACAAACAGAGAGUGAGUGAAUAGUUCCUGAAGGCUGGUGUCAAGUUCUGUUUGUAUGGCCAAAGGUAUAUCAAACAACUUUUUUAAGUCUUCACUUUCUGAUUUGAGAAGUAUGAACUUUGCUGAACUUCACACCCUUAAAACAUAGUUGGAAUGUGAAACAGACAUCAAAAGUGAACAAAGCAGUGAAGAGUUAUGUUGAUCCCAAAUCACCAUAAUGAAGUAUUGCUCACUGGAGAACCACAAUAGCUGAUGGCAUCUGAUAACACAGUUAAAUGCCUUAGCAUAAACCACUACAAACACCAAAUCUUUGUAAACUAAAAUAAAUGGUUUGUCAGACUAAUAAAUCAGUCAAUGAAGGAUAUAUAGUUUGUUGUUUUGGGUUUUUUUUAAGUCUGCAUGCUAAUGACAACUUCAUUUUUGAGCCAGGAAUUGUGAGUGAAAAUGGUUUGAUGCCAGCUACUGAAUGGUGAAGUAUUUACCACGAACAUUCUCAACAUAGUUACUCACCAUUGUUACACUUGGCAUUCUAUUUGCUACUGUCUAAAAUGAUAGGAUAUUUUCAAAGACAGCAUGUGAGUAUCAGGUUUUUCUUUUUACUGCAAAGAAAAAAUGAAGCUUAUGAAAUGUAAUGCCUUCCUGUAAGGAAAAAGAUGGAAGACUGAGGGUUCUAACGCUUAUUUUGUAUAUCAAAUUGACCCUUUAAGGGAACUUUACCUGUUUUUAUUUAAGUCUUCCCCAAAUCAACCCGAAACCUAAGGUUUAUUUUGCCAGUAUGAUCAUACAGUAUUUCACAUCCUGCAGGCUCUGGUUACACUCCAGAUCAAUUUUCAUUCCAGCAUUUUAUUUUCCAGAAGUUAUUUUUGUCACCCUUGUUCUGAAGGUAACAAACAUCUUUUGCAUAUGUAACAUUUACAUUUUCACACAAGGGAUCAAUUUACAAGCUUGUGUGUUUAUAAACCAAUAAAAAGCCAACUAGAAAACCUAUAUCCUAAUAAUCUGCAUGCCUGCUCAGUUCACCUCCCUGGCUCCCUGUGUCAAAUCCUUUCAUCUGACUGAGUAUUUCCUGUGAAUCUUUGUCAAGUCUUGAUAAUUUUGAAGACAUGCACAUCUCAAAUGCAUAUUGCACAUAUUAAAAUAUAGUAAUUAUUUGGGUUUUUUUAAUUGAAUAUACCAUUCUAUUCCUCUUUAUUAUUCCUUAUUUAUCCUUGCUCUUUGGACAACCACUUCUAGAUUUUCUCCAAACCCCAUUUUAUGACACAGAAAGCACAUUCUUCUAAAUUUAUUUUUUUAAUUUUACUGAGACAUUACAGAUUCCUCACAGUCACUCUAUUUUAUGCUUUGUUCCUGCAAAGGAACAAGAACAGAAAUGCAAUUAGACCAACUUUGAGGAGUUUUACAUGCUCCUUUAUAUGUGUUGGCAAGCCAUAAUUAGUUAAUAUUAGCAAUAAGCUAGAUUUUAUUACCUCUUACAGAAUUCAAAAUACGAUUGCUGGAGAAAGGACACCAUGGAGAUACAAUCUUAGAAUUGUAUUUCUAACAGUCCAAAUGUUAUAUGACUCAAAAUAAUUUGCUUUUUUUUCUUCCAUUUGUAAUGGUAAUUGGUCUCUGCUGCCAGAACAAGCUCUGCUUGUCAUGGUAUCUGGUAAUAUUAUUACUCUAUUUCAAGAUGUCAUGAUAAUAAAAGCUGAAAUUCUCCCAAUUGCAUAUUCAGAGUCUAUAGUGUUUUCCAAAAUAUUCUGAUGCCCUAAUAUUCUCAAUGCAUCUUUAAUGAAAUGUAGUCAAGAUUAUUGAUGUAGAUAUUAGCAGCAUUUUUUUUAUUUGAGAGAGAUUUUUACAUCCCAUGGAAGUUAUUGGGGUAAAUAUUGGGAAAGAACCUGAGUGAAAUUUUAUCUCCUUCUUGGGCAGGGGUUUGGUUUUGAAUAUAUGAUUUGCACUCUCCUUAAAUGCAUAUUCUGAUUACUGAAGUUUCAGUACCUUCACAUGGCAUAAAAAAAGUAUUAGAAGAGAAAGAUAAAAAUGCUUCAGAGGAUAGAGGCUGGAACUUUCAGAAAGUAUUUCAAUGUCUAACUCCCACCAAGAGUAAAGGCCUUGCAAGAGAGGCUGAAAAUUCUUCCCAGUGUCAAUUUAAAAUAUUGAUUUAUAGAGUAUACUAUACACAGAAUAGACUGUGAAAUUGCAAUUACAUUAAUUGUCAAAGGAUGAUUUACCUGACCUAUAAUGCAAACGUACACAUCGUAUUGUACUGAAAUACUGAGAUAUUGUGUGCUACAACAGAGAACAAAAACCAUGGAUAAGUUAAUUUUGCCUUUCAAAUUUAUAGAAAUUUAACUUGCCCACCUUUAUCUGCAUUGAGUUUGGAACUACUGAUUUUCAGAUUAACAAAUGACCUGCAACCUGGUCAAAUUAGCAAAGUUUGUAGCUUGAAAAGAUCACAGGGACAUGAAGCUGACUCAUUUUCCAGGGUGAAAUAAAAGAACAGAAAUCUCUCAAUAACACUGUUUAAUUGUUUAAUUUAAUAUUUCUGUAUAUAUUCCAAAUAGGAGAAUUUGCUUAUAAAUAAUGUUGGCACUCCAUUUUAGAGAGGCUUUGUGUAGGCAGCUUUCUGAGCUAUCAUUUAGUCUGAUUAUUUUUAAUUUUAGGCAAACAAGAUGACUACAAAUGUAUCUCUCACACUAAGAAGAUAAUUGAGAUUGAACCUUCUAACCUUUAUGACUUUUUUCCACAGAUCACAGUAAAUAGACUAUUUAAAUUGUUAUUAAUUUUGCUGGUGUCUGUGUCUAGUUUUAAAUAUUCCAUUACAUCAGUGGCACAGAGAAUUCCCUGCAUGAGCCAUGGGAAAGAUGCUGACCUAAUUAUUUUAGAAAUAACUAUGUAGAAAAAUCUAAAAGGAUUAACAAAGGAAAUAUUAUGUCACUACCAAAUUAAUAACUAAAAUAGCAUGAAAAUCACUGUAUAAUUAUCUAGGUUUCCAUAGCAACUGUCUUUGAUGGGUCGCCAAAAAGACUUCUGAUUGAGCUUCAAUACUUCUGCUCUCCCUGCAAUACAUGAUUUCUGAUCUGCCUUUGACAAACAACCAACCAGCAUACAUCCUUAUCCUACAAUCUUUAAGCAACAAUCCUCAAAAGCACUAAUCAGCCACAUGCUUUUUUCAGGUCUGAACUCUUGAACUUAAAUAUGCAAAAAUAUUUUUCAAGUGUAUUAUUACAAAUACAGAGCUACCAAAAAAGAAAA